Non-coding RNA from Branchiostoma floridae (Florida lancelet), 46 nucleotides. NCBI's taxonomy places the organism in Eukaryota, Metazoa, Chordata, Leptocardii, Amphioxiformes, Branchiostomatidae. The record is from Rfam.
CCACCGGCCCUUUUCAGGGCCACCAAUUUAUCAUGGAGAACUGUAU